RNAcentral lists this ribosomal RNA (492 nucleotides) under uncultured bacterium. RNAcentral describes it as "partial 16S ribosomal RNA". It matches the Rfam family "Bacterial small subunit ribosomal RNA", at positions 29 to 507 of the family's 1533-position model. The record is from RNAcentral.
AGUGAACGCUGGCGGUAGGCCUAACACAUGCAAGUCGAACGGCAGCACAGUAAGAGCUUGCUCUUACGGGUGGCGAGUGGCGGACGGGUGAGGAAUACAUCGGAAUCUACUUUUUCGUGGGGGAUAACGUAGGGAAACUUACGCUAAUACCGCAUACGACCUACGGGUGAAAGCAGGGAAUCUUCGGACCUUGCGCGAUUGAAUGAGCCGAUGUCGGAUUAGCUAGUUGGCGGGGUAAAGGCCCACCAAGGCGACGAUCCGUAGCUGGUCUGAGAGGAUGAUCAGCCACACUGGAACUGAGACACGGUCCAGACUCCUACGGGAGGCAGCAGUGGGGAAUAUUGGACAAUGGGCGCAAGCCUGAUCCAGCCAUACCGCGUGGGUGAAGAAGGCCUUCGGGUUGUAAAGCCCUUUUGUUGGGAAAGAAAAGCAGCAGGUUAAUACCCCGCUGCUCUGACGGUACCCAAAGAAUAAGCACCGGCUAACUUCGUG